UUUGAUCAUGGCUCAGAUUGAANCGCUGGCGGCACGGCCUAACACAUGCAAGUCGAGCGAGAAAGGCCUUCGGGCUGAGUACAGCGGCGGACGGGUGAGUAACGCGUAGGAAUCUACCUGGUAGUGGGGGACAACAUGGGGAAACUCAUGCUAAUACCGCAUACGCCCUAUGGGGGAAAGCGGGGGACCUUCGGGCCUCGCGCUAUCAGAUGAGCCUGCGUAGGAUUAGCUUGUUGGUGAGGUAAAGGCUCACCAAGGCAGACGAUCCUUAGCUGGUCUGAGAGGAUGAUCGGCCACACUGGUGACUGAGACACGGNCCAGACUCCUACGGGAGGCAGCAGUGGGGAAAUAUUGCGCAAUGGGCGAACAAGCCUGACGCAGCCAUGCCGCGUGUGUGAAAGAAAGGCCUUCGGGUGUCACAGCACUUUCAAUUUAGGGAAGACACGGUUGCGUAUUAACUAGACACGUAGCUGUGACGUUUACCUUUAGAAAGAAAGGCACCGGCUAACUUCCCGUGCCACAGCCAGCCGCGGUAAUACGGCAGGGUGCGAGCGUUUAAUCGGAAUU
Molecule: ribosomal RNA, 567 nt
Filed under: uncultured bacterium
Lineage: Bacteria
Description: bacterial SSU rRNA
Rfam family: Bacterial small subunit ribosomal RNA
Source: RNAcentral